GAUGAACGCUGGCGGCGAGCCUAAUACAUGCAAGUCGAGCGAACAGAUGAGGAGCUUGCUCCUCUGACGUUAGCGGCGGACGGGUGAGUAACACGUGGAUAACCUACCUAUAAGACUGGGAUAACUUCGGGAAACCGGAGCUAAUACCGGAUAAUAUAUUGAACCGCAUGGUUCAAUAGUGAAAGACGGUUUUGCUGUCACUUAUAGAUGGAUCCGCGCCGCAUUAGCUAGUUGGUAAGGUAACGGCUUACCAAGGCAACGAUGCGUAGCCGACCUGAGAGGGUGAUCGGCCACACUGGAACUGAGACACGGUCCAGACUCCUACGGGAGGCAGCAGUAGGGAAUCUUCCGCAAUGGGCGAAAGCCUGACGGAGCAACGCCGCGUGAGUGAUGAAGGUCUUCGGAUCGUAAAACUCUGUUAUUAGGGAAGAACAAAUGUGUAAGUAACUAUGCACGUCUUGACGGUACCUAAUCAGAAAGCCACGGCUAACUACGUG
RNAcentral lists this ribosomal RNA (497 nucleotides) under uncultured bacterium. RNAcentral describes it as "partial 16S ribosomal RNA". It matches the Rfam family "Bacterial small subunit ribosomal RNA", at positions 28 to 507 of the family's 1533-position model. The record is from RNAcentral.